Daphnia pulicaria is the source of this 181-nucleotide long non-coding RNA. RefSeq lists it as uncharacterized. The record is from RefSeq and is a predicted model, not a curated record. Lineage: Eukaryota; Metazoa; Arthropoda; Branchiopoda; Diplostraca; Daphniidae. The transcript is spliced from 3 exons.
UUAUCUAACUGAAAAAAAAACAGACAUCAAAAACAUUGAAAUGUUCAAGUAUAGUUAUCUGUGUGACUUGUUUGGUGAAAAACAUCCAGCCUUGACCAUAUGCCCUAAGGCAGAGUUAUUGGAGGACUCCCUUUCUGAUCAUGACUAUCCAGACUCAUAUAGUCCAUUUCUCACAAUUCCA